Molecule: ribosomal RNA, 253 nt
Filed under: uncultured bacterium
Lineage: Bacteria
Description: partial 16S ribosomal RNA
Rfam family: Bacterial small subunit ribosomal RNA
Source: RNAcentral
UACGUAGGGACCGAGCGUUGUCCGGAAUUACUGGGCGUAAAGCGCGUGUAGGCGGAUGAGCAAGUCUGCUGUGAAAGCUCCUGGCUUAACCGGGAGUGGUCGGUGGAAACUGCUCGUCUGGAGGACGGUAGAGGUAGGUAGAAUUCCCGGUGUAGUGGUGAAAUGCGUAGAGAUCGGGAGGAAUACCUGUGGCGAAGGCGGCCUACUGGGCCGGACCUGACGCUGAGACGCGAAGGCGUGGGGAGCGAACGGG